RNA transcript from Carassius gibelio (silver crucian carp), 3702 nucleotides. It is a transcript of the gene named exonuclease mut-7 homolog, with no coding region annotated. The record is from RefSeq and is a predicted model, not a curated record. The transcript is spliced from 22 exons. Lineage: Eukaryota; Metazoa; Chordata; Actinopteri; Cypriniformes; Cyprinidae.
AAACAUUCCCCGAGUUUAAUGGUUCCGCCCGGAUAUAUGGACAGAUUCCUCCAACACACGUCGGCUGACAUCAACGUUAUUUAGGGUGAGGAAGCGUGGAGUCCAGACAGCGCCACCUGGUGUACAACAAUGAGCCUGCAAGGACAAUCCGAAGGUGUUGACCUGCCUGCCCUGCAGGAGCACCUCUGCGGCCUGUGGAGCAGGAAAGAGCAGGAGCAGCUGCGGCAGUUUUUAGCGAGCAGUUUCUCGCAGAUGCAGGAGCCGUUGGCCGGUCUGCUGGACUUCCUGCAGGGCUGCUUUAGUGUCCAGAAGGGCAAGACCAGCACGCUGCACCAGUUCAUUCUCACAGAGUUCAUGCGCUGGAGGACCAGGAAUCCCCAGGCCAGUCUGAAUGACCUGAGGGAAGAAGAGCGACUGCGUUUGCAGAAGAGAGCCCUGGGGCUCCUCACAGACUCUCAUCCCGGGUACAUGGACCCCCUGCUGGAGAUUUAUCAGCUGAGCUCACUGAAAACACCACUGCUGCUGGAACAUGUGGACUUCCUGCAUGACUGCUGCUGCUUCAAAGAGGCGUUGAUGUUCAGUGUCAAAGUGGAACUGCAGAAGCAUCUGGACAUGGAGAAGAUGUGUGUUCCUCUCAUUCUGCUGGACAAGCUGUCUCUGGCCGAGCUGUAUGUGCGUGACCUUCCUGACCUGCAGCAGCGUCUGGUCUCACUGCUGGACUCCUGGUGCGAGCCCAACUUCAACAUGCAGGCACUGCUCAGUCAGUACCCAAGCGUGGUUCUCUCGAAACAUCAGACGGAGCAGAUCCAGCCCAAGCUGCUCAGUAAACAUGUGUUCAGACUCAUGGAGAAGUUCUGCAUUGAUCCAGGUCUGUGCUCUAAUUCUGUCUACAAGAGGAAGCUGGAUUCACUGAGGUUUCUCAUGUACAAAACCUUUGGCGAGAAAAGCAUGUCGGAAGAGAACUGGAGAGACCAUGUUCAGGCCAUGAUUGAAGGCAAUGCAGAGCUCCAGAUUCAGUUGGUGCAGCUGUUGGUGAAACACUGCAGCCUCCAGACUGCUGCCCAGUGGGCUGCACAUUACAACUUACCCAGAAACAGGCUUCCCCUAGGAGUCUGGGACAAAAUUCAGAGCCUCUCCCGCAAGAACCAGCUAGAGAUGUGUUUUGUGAGCGGUCCACCCGAAUCUUGGACACCUCUUCAGUCUGAUAUGCAAAAAUACUAUCAGCUGCCUCUGCCCAGAGAAAACGUCCUCUUUGUAGAGUCAUUAGAUGAAGUUGAGCAGUGCAGAGAAGCUGUUUUAAAGUCUGGUUGUGUGGUGGGAAUAGACAUGGAAUGGAGAGCCGGUUUUGGCACAGUAUCCUCUCAGCGUGUGGCUCUGAUCCAGCUGGCCGUACAGGAACGGGUGUUUCUGUUGGACCUUUGUGCUCACGCCAUUAGCCACCACAGCUCCACAGUGAACUUCAUCAGAGCUCUGUUGUCUGACAAGAACAUCCUCAAACUGGGUUAUGGGAUGUCUGGAGACUUACGAAGUCUGGUCAGCACGUGGCCGGAGCUCAGGGAAGAGCCAAUUAAAAUGGAAGGAGUUCUGGAUCUGCUUCAUGUUCAUCAGGAGAUUCAGCGGUGCUGGUUGGGAAAUAAAGGGUGUCGGUCAGUGGAAGUGAGUGAGGGACCAGCGGAGAAGGGCCUCAGUUUGCUAGUGCAGCAGAUAUUAGGAAAACCACUGAACAAAACCGAGCAACUCUCCAACUGGGAACGCCGACCUCUCCGGACCAGCCAACUCCGCUAUGCGGCCACUGAUGCGUACUGCCUGCUGGAUGUCUACCUCAUCCUCUCCCGGGACCCAAAGGCAUUUGGUUUGCCAGAGGACCUCCGCUCCAUUCCCUCAGCCCAACUGGCCAAGAGCCGUGAGGAAAAGAAACCCAAAGAGAAGAACAAGCAGUCUAAAAGAAGAGAGGCUCGGCAGAAGUCAAAUGAGCCCCACUCCAUGGAUGACUGUUUAAAGAUGACUUUGGAGUAUGAAGGGCCUACUAUCACACCACCAGAGCUACGAGUGGUCUGUGAUAACAUGCUGCAGGGUCUGGGACGUUUUUUGCGCUGUCUGGGGGUGGAUGUCAAGAUGCUAGAAAACACAGAUGACCAUAAAGUAGCAGCAGAGCUGGCUCGUGCUGAAGGUCGUGUUAUCCUCACCGCUGGUCAGCCCUAUCAAACUUUACGCUCACAGGUCGGUGAGGGCCGUUGCCUGACUCUGGACUGCUCAGAAAAGGCACGUGACCAGGCGGUGCACGUUCUCAGACAUUUCCACGUCCACCUCACCCCUGCAGACAUUUUCAGUAGAUGCCAGGUUCCAUAAAGCGCAAUAUUUGGGGUUUUCGCUGGAUGAGGAUCUUAUAUUUCAGACGGCACUUGACGCAGUUCCGUUGGCUUUACUUCUCGUGUGUGGAGCUCGUCUUCCAGAGGCAGAUCAAUGCAGAAUUUCAAAGAACAACUACUGUACUUCUGGUACCGAAAUUUAUGUCUGUGUUUGACUGUCACACUCCCAAGCUACUGACGCCAUUUUGUGCCAAAGAUGGAGCACUUGGAAGAAGACUGGAGAUCAUAAUGGAAAUGCUGCAGUGAUUGACUUCCUCCCCAGCACUCUUCGAUUGAGAGGACCAGAGAGAUUGUUCCUCGGUAUCUUACAAAAAAUACCUUGGAGAACAAGGGGGACAUCUUAUCAAAGAAUUCAACUUAGGACACUGAGAACUUGGAGGAACUUGAACAGCUCAUAAUGGCCAUUAAUGUGACCCCAAAGCGUGGAGCUUCUACAAGCAACUGCCCAAAGAACAUUGGGAUCCUCAUUAAGGGCGUGGAAGUCAUUACAGGACUUGGAGAUAUUGCAAGGGCUUGCAUUGUCCUCUUUGGCUUGACCUACGCGCUGAAUCUUGAUUAUCCCAGACUACUGAAGUACACCUUUGAGGUGUUCCAAUUUUUUUUCUUGGAACUGGAUGAUUCAAAGCUUUCUAACAAAGUCCAGUCCCUCAAGAACAAACUUCAGGCUUGAAAUGGGACUGUAUUGCAGUGCAGACUUUUGUGCUACACAAUGUUCAUCUUCUACAGAGCUUGGGAAUUGCACAUUUGAAAGUGCUACGUUUGUAAGUUGGCACUGUUUUGUCCAAAAAAUGUCGUACAUUUCAAUUGUUGUAAAUUCAAAGUACAAAUGUAUUUUACUUAGUACAAUUUGCACUUUUAUUAUUUAUGUUUUGGCACAUGCCAUUAUGGAGUAUUUUUCUUUAAGAUCUUUACUGCUCCUUUUUUUUAAAGUUGAAGUCAGCAUUUUGUCCUUUUCAAAGUUCUGAAAAAGUUUGAAAUGCUUGAGCAAACUUCUGGCUUGAAAAAAGAGACAGUAGUAGUUGCAGUGUACAUGAUUUGCUACACAAUGUUUAGCUUCUACAGAGCUUGGGAAUUAGACAUCUGAAAGUGUUAUGUUUGUAAGUUAGCACUGAUUUGGACUCUUAUCCCACGAAUGUCAGUGAUAUUUCUAGUUCAAAGUACGAAAUGUUUAUUGCUCUGUACAAAUUACACUUUUCUGCUUUUUUUUGGUACAUGCACCUCUGGAGGAUUUUCCUUUAAGAUCAUUAUUGACCCAAUUUAGUGGGAUGUGAGAUGAGAAAGCAUGGAAACAGGUUUAUAGACACAUCACAUCAUUCUGUAUGUAAUUUAUUUU